CGCCGAAAAGACUGGCUGUGUGGCUGUGCUACGAGAAAUCGCCUUUUCUACUACAUAACAAUUGGGUUCAUAUAUUUGUAAAUCUGACUCUGAAAAGGUCAGUGCCUCACCAGCCACGGGCCUCACUACACGUCUCUGAUACCUAUCUGAUAUAUCAGAGCCGACUCCUGAGAGCAGACGUAUCUGAAGCUGUCAGGGAGGAACCAUGGCUACCAUCUCUGAACCGGACCCUGGACCCUCUGAGGAACCUGGGGACGCGUCUUUGGACCGGAGGGAGCGCAGGAAGAGAAGAUUUGCUGGUAGAGCAAAGAAGAAGGCUAACUUCAGACGCCGUGGAAGCCGUCAGAGAGUAACAAUGGUCACCAUCUCUGAACCAGACCCUGGGCUCUCUGAGGACCCUGAGGACACGUCUUUGGACCGGGAGGAGACCAGGAAGAGAAGAUUUGCUCUAUGGUUUCACAUCACUGUCAUUGUGAGCAUCGGACUGCUGAGUAUUCUCCUCAUCUCCCUGCGCUUCAGUGAGUCUAAAUCAUAUCCUCCUAAACAGAAUAACAAUACAGUAUAAUCAUAUCAUUGAUUGUAUUAAUGGCAAUGAUAAUGUUAAAUAUUGUUUUUGUCAGAUUUAGUGAUAAUAAUA
Gadus morhua (Atlantic cod) is the source of this 637-nucleotide long non-coding RNA. RefSeq lists it as uncharacterized. The record is from RefSeq and is a predicted model, not a curated record. The transcript has 4 exons. NCBI's taxonomy places the organism in Eukaryota, Metazoa, Chordata, Actinopteri, Gadiformes, Gadidae.